AUGGUAGGAUAGAGGCCUACCAUGGUGGUAACGGGUAACGGGGUGUUAGGGCACGACACCGGAGAGGGAGCCUGAGAAACGGCUACCACAUCCAAGGAUGGCAGCAGGCGCGCAAAUUACCCAAUCCCGACACGGGGAGGUAGUGACAAUAAAUAACAAUACGGGGUUCUUUAGGAUCUCGUAAUUGGAAUGAGUACAAUUUAAAUCUCUUAACGAGGAACAAUUGGAGGGCAAGUCUGGUGCCAGCAGCCGCGGUAAUUCCAGCUCCAAUAGCGUAUAUNAAAGUUGUUGCAGUUAAAAAGCUCGUAGUUGAAUUUCGGGGUCAGUAGGUCGGUCGUGCCACUGGUAUGAACUGGUUUUACUGAUUCCUCCCUCUUGAAGAACUGUAAUGCCAUUAAUUUGGUGUUGCAGGGAAUCAGGACUGUUACUUUGAAAAAAUUAGAGUGUUUAAAGCAGGCUUUAGCUUGAAUACAUUAGCAUGGAAUAAUGAAAUAGGACGUUUGAUCCUAUUUUGUUGGUUUCUAGGAUUGACGUAAUGAUUAAUAGGGAUAGUUGGGGGCAUUAGUAUUCAAUUGUCAGAGGUGAAAUUCUUGGAUUUAUUGAAGGCUAACUACUGCGAAAGCAUUUGCCAAGGAUGUUUUCAUUAAUCAAGAACGAAAGUUAGGGGAUCGAAGACGAUCAGAUACCGUCGUAGUCUUAACCAUAAACUAUGCCGACUAGGGAUCGGAUGAUGUUAAUUUUUUAAUGACUCAUUCGGCGCCUUACGGGAAACCAAAGUGUUUGGG
RNAcentral lists this ribosomal RNA (785 nucleotides) under uncultured Glomus. Its description in RNAcentral is "SSU rRNA". It matches the Rfam family "Eukaryotic small subunit ribosomal RNA", at positions 325 to 1111 of the family's 1831-position model. The record is from RNAcentral. Lineage: Eukaryota; Fungi; Glomeromycota; Glomeromycetes; Glomerales; Glomeraceae.